UAUGAAUGUAUGUGUGUGUGUGUGUGUGUGUGUGUGUGUAUGCUUAGUGUAACCCGUGACACCCAAAUUUUGUAUAACUUGUCUAUCAAUGGACCAGUAAUUUCAGAAGUGUAGAUUCGUCCUAAGAGAGAGAUUUUGCAACAGCAGUGAACACACAGACACAAGAUUUAAGGAUUGUUCAAAGGGUCCGAUUAACGGGCGGCUCGCCAGUCCAACUUUUCCGUUACACACACAGUUGAGACGAUUCACACUCCAGGAAGGGUUCACACUUCACUCGAUUCGCAGAUAAGCGGACUAUAUUCUGUGGCUGAACAUCAGCAAGACAUCACACAGAACAAACCCAAGAAGAAAAAAAAUAAAACCCGGCCAAGGAAACUCAGUCUAAUGUACAUAUAAGGAAGGAAAAUCCUGAUGGUAACUGGUUGAAGAUACACUCUCAACCGUGCUCCGCUUUUCUCUCAAUCGUUUAGGAAGCACUAAAUCUCCCGGAGCAGUAAUGGACGUCUGCUCUCGGCUCAAGUUCACGGAGAAAAGAAAGAUCCAGAACACUAUGCGUUGCAAACCUGCCGCGAUCGCGUACGACGUAUUGACGUCAUGCAAAAAGCGAUUUCAUUGGACGCCACUAUCCUAAUCCUGCAUAUUUUACUUUUAUUUUUUUUUUCAUAAAUAGUUAAUUUAAUUAGGCAUAUAUUUUAUUCUGGCAGUGUUUUCUUUUUUUUUCAUACUUCACAUCGAUCAUACAGUUUGCUGUUUGUUCUAUGAUUCUGCCUCUGCUACUACUCACUAGUAAGCUGGGUUACAUUAGUCUUCUCAGUGUACUCUUGUCAAUUAGUAGGUACUGUUUAAUAAAUUUUGUUUCAUUAUUACGAAUUCUCGUUUGUGUGUUAUGUGACUGGAAAGUUAAACUCAUGCCCAGAUCUGUUGCUACCUGCUCGAGGUAAAGCUAAAAUCAGAUAAAAGUUUUUAAUUCGUUUCAGAACCGGUUUAGAGUGGAAUGUUUGUGUAAACAAGAUUCAGCAUGUUCGCUCCUCUUGUAGCAAAGUCCAUAUGCUGAUAGAAUGUGGGGAGCACUCUUUUGAGAUUUGCAUUAUUCAAAUCUCUGGCGAUGAUAAACAGUUCAUCGCGGUGAGCAUUCUGCAGCUCACUAAUAGCCCGUGUACCCUCGCUUCCUCGAACACUGCUUGGGACGUCCUCUUCCCCGGCCUUCAGCAUAAGGUGACAGCGAGGAUUGAGGGCCUGGUCUGCACAGCAAGCAGAGGUCACAGAGUCUGCGUACAAUGUCGUCAUGCAGAUUAGUGAGCAGUUUCAGUGUCAGGUUGUCGUAUGCGUGGACACAACUGUUGUUGGUGUCCAUGCCCUGCAGAAUUCCAGCUGAAAC
Molecule: long non-coding RNA, 1378 nt
Organism: Puntigrus tetrazona (Sumatra barb)
Lineage: Eukaryota; Metazoa; Chordata; Actinopteri; Cypriniformes; Cyprinidae
Exons: 2
Source: RefSeq, a predicted model, not a curated record